RNAcentral lists this ribosomal RNA (507 nucleotides) under uncultured Rhizophagus. RNAcentral's name for it is "SSU rRNA". It matches the Rfam family "Eukaryotic small subunit ribosomal RNA", at positions 569 to 1078 of the family's 1831-position model. Lineage: Eukaryota; Fungi; Glomeromycota; Glomeromycetes; Glomerales; Glomeraceae. The record is from RNAcentral.
AGCAGCCGCGGUAAUUCCAGCUCCAAUAGCGUAUAUUAAAGUUGUCGCAGUUAAAAAGCUCGUAGUUGAAUUUCGGGGUCAGUAGAUCGGUCAUGCCACUGGUAUGUACUGGUCUCACUGAUUCCUCCUUCCUGAUGAGCCGUAAUGCCAUUAAUUUGGUGUUGCGAGGAAUCUGGACUGUUACUUUGAAAAAUUAGAGUGUUUAAAGCAGGCUAACGCUUGAAUACAUUAGCAUGGAAUAAUGAAAUAGGACGUUCGAUCUUAUUUUGUUGGUUUCUAAGAUUGACGUAAUGAUUAAUAGGGAUAGUUGGGGGCAUUAGUAUUCAAUUGUCAGAGGUGAAAUUCUUGGAUUUAUUGAAGACUAACUACUGCGAAAGCAUUUGCCAAGGAUGUUUUCAUUAAUCAAGAACGAAAGUUAGGGGAUCGAAGACGAUCAGAUACCGUCGUAGUCUUAACCAUAAACUAUGCCGACUAGGGAUCGGAUGAUGUUAAUUUUUAAUGUACUCU